This is a long non-coding RNA of Tribolium castaneum (red flour beetle), 912 nucleotides long. RefSeq lists it as uncharacterized. NCBI's taxonomy places the organism in Eukaryota, Metazoa, Arthropoda, Insecta, Coleoptera, Tenebrionidae. The record is from RefSeq and is a predicted model, not a curated record. The transcript is spliced from 2 exons.
CGGUGUCAAAAAGUUUUUUCAAUUUUAAAUGUUUCAAUUUCCAAUUUGAAUUAUUCUGCUACGUGUUGUGUUCGUGGUUUUCUCUUUUUAUUCUUAUUUGAAUUCGUUUGUUGGUGUUAUCUACUCCUAAAGUAAUCUCAAAAACAUUUAAGUUUUGAACUUUCGAAGGCUAAAAUUUGCUUUGGUGUGGACCUAUUAUACACUUAAAAGGCAACCUACAACGUUUAUUAAACAACUUCUGGCUGGCUGGAACACAUGAUUCUGGAAACAGUGCAUCUCUUUACUUGUGAGAGCUAUCCAGAAACAAAUCGACUUGGGCACCAAAAAUAACUUCGAGAAUUUAAACCAAAUUUCAAUUUUUGAAUGGACAUCUAUGAUGGACACUGUUUAAGACUUCUACCUUGCACAUAGUGUCUUUUAUUUAAUACACGCGUUCAUUCAUUCAUUUGUACAAAAAUCACAAAAACGUAUCUUGAACUCCCUCCUUUUUACCGUUAAGUUUCAAGACUGGUGAAUCCACCAAAGUGGAGUCCUUACAUUAAAAUCAGAAAAACCUCUUACUCAUAAUAAGUUCAUAUAAGUAAAUUUGUUGUAAAGUCAUCUAUGUGAGUCUACAACCAACACGAAAACAUACAAGAAAUGUUUGCACAAACUAUUAAAAGCACUACUUUUCUGUGAAAAUUGAAUUGGGCACAUGCCUAAAACUCCAAUGGUACCCUAUUAGAGUCCGUAUUUACUUAUUUAGUUCUUUAAUUUUUUUCCAAGUUUCAAAAUAAUGUUAAAUAACCGGUUUUUGAGGGUGAGGAAGUCGCCAAAUUAAUAUGUGGAAGCCAAACACGACAUUUAUUUCUUAUAAUUGAUGUUUUCAUAAUUUGUGAAACGUUAAUUCAUUAAUAAAUUAUUUUCAUUCAA